GUCUGGGCUCUGCGAUGCUCACUCAUCUCUGUGAUGUUUCCAUUCAGAUCAGGAGCCCCCAGAGGGCGUAUAUUAGGUGCAGCCGGGUCCAGGGCCUUGAGCAAUGCUUGCAAACUUCCCCACCCCCUCACGCAUCUCCUGGUUCUGCUGUCCCCUUCUUGGCUUCAUCGGGCAGGUACAAAAUCACACAGCCCGUUGGAUGGAGAGAGCAAGGCUUCUCCCCUGCUCCUGACUCCUGUCAGCAUUGACUUUGCUGAAGAUCCCUUGUGGUCCCCAAGAAUAAACAGUGGCUCAGAUGGGCACAGGGCUCCUCAUACCAGAGUCCAGCUCCAGCUGGUCCGGGGAUUCCGGAAGGAUGGACGGUGUCGGCGAAAGGGAUGAGAGAGCCAGAAUGUUCUUUCUGAUCACCCUUGUGGAACACCUACUAUGGGCCAGGCACACACACAAGUGUUGGCUCCUUCCACUCAAGGAUUUUGGUCUCCUGCCCAAGAUGAGGGUGUUGAGGGCCAGGGAGGCAAAGGGGCCACUGCAAGACCAGACCAUGGUGCUGCUGGGAUUGGAAUGAAGGGCUUCCCGUGGGCUGCGGCCAUGUGCACUCCACUAACCUGCGCCACUGUAUACAGCCUUCCUCCACCUCCGAGGUGGUCUGCGGCCAGGCGCUUGGCUCUAAGGAGCGGUCCAGGAGCUGAGGUCCUUCCCACCGGACACAGGUAUCCGUCUGUUCCUUGGAAGAAAAGAG
This 739-nucleotide long non-coding RNA is filed under the name Suricata suricatta (meerkat). RNAcentral describes it as "lncRNA (ENSSSUG00005009537.1)". The record is from RNAcentral. Lineage: Eukaryota; Metazoa; Chordata; Mammalia; Carnivora; Herpestidae.